RNAcentral lists this long non-coding RNA (1747 nucleotides) under Salvia miltiorrhiza (redroot sage). RNAcentral describes it as "long non-coding RNA (SMIL_LNC006971)". The record is from RNAcentral. Lineage: Eukaryota; Viridiplantae; Streptophyta; Magnoliopsida; Lamiales; Lamiaceae.
AUUUCUGUUUUGGUGGUAUUGUUGUAUUGGUUGAUGUCCAUUUACUAUCCUGCUUCGGGUUGUUUCUCUUUUGAAUUUAUGAAUUUUCUGUUUCCGCUAAUUUGUGAUCAUGUUUGAAAAAAUUGUUGCUUUACCUGUAACGUGUGUUUUUUUUUUUUUUUUUUUUUUUUUUUUUUUUUCUGAUUAUCAAAAUAUGCCUUUUUUUUUGCUGCUUGAAUUGUUGCCGUAUAGUGUAGCCGUGACUUAGGCCUUUUGACUGAUUGUUCAGCUCUCUCAGCCAUGGUUUCUGUUACCUACAUUAUCUCGAUAAUGACCUCUUUUUCCAGUUCGUAGAAGAAGAGGUGAACAUAUAUAUAUAUACAUAUAUACUGGUAAAUAAUAUUGAAUCAAUGAUUGCACACGGGUUCAUUACUCAUGCAUUCUUUUGAACAGAUACUUACGAGAUGCCAAGGAACUUCCUUUUUUAAUGUCAUUAACGGUUUUACUGAUUUGCAAUGAUUGAGUAUAUGAUACUGAUAGAAGUGAGGUAGAAAGAAUGAGGGCAACCGAGAUGGAGGCUGCCGCCAUUAUGUUUUACUAUUAAUCUCUUCCUCUAAUUUAGUUUUGAAACUUGAAAACCGUUAUGACAGGAUGAGUUGGGUAUCAUUUAUAUCCAGUUUUGCCAAUGCCUAGCUCAAAGCAUAUUAAAUAUCUCACUGUGAUGUUUUUCUGAAUGCUCCUGCAUCAUCUGGGUGUUAAUCUUUUAUUUUGUAAUACUUUCUACCUCCAGUUGGGCUGUGUUAGUAUAUUGUGGAAAUUAGAAGCAUCAAAAUUUGACGGAGUACUUGGGAGAAGGAUGCAUAGUUAUUGCAAAGACUAACAGAUUUUGGAAUAAUAUUAUGAGUAUUCAUUCUUACUCAUUUACCUUUUCUGUUUUUAUAUGUUAUUAGUUUAUUUUCCCUUUCACAAGACUUCAAAUCAGUAUUGGACUUUUAUGAGAGGCCUACAUAAACUUCUAUAAUUCUAUUAACUUGCUUAACAAAUACUAAUUGCUGAUAGAUCUAAUUCACUGAAUGUAUGUGCUGUUAGUUGUUAAUAAUGAUUUACGCCGCAUCGUGUUUCUUCUUCUUUUGNGUAGUCCGUGACUUAGGUCCUUUGUACUGUAUUGUUCUAGUCUCUCUACUAGUCCUAUGGUUACCUGUAACGUGUGUUUUUUUUUUUUUUUUUUUUUGUUUUUUUCUUGAUUAUCAAAAUAUGCCUUUUUUUUGCUGCUUGAAUUGUUGUCGUAUAGUGUAGCCGUGACUUAGGCCUUUUGACUGAUUGUUCAGCUCUCUCAGCCAUGGUUUCUGUUACCUACAUUAUCUCGAUAAUGACCUCUUCUUCCAGUUCGUAGAAGAAGAGGUGAACAUAUAUAUAUAUACAUAUAUACUGGUAAAUAAUAUUGAAUCAAUGAUUAUUGCAUAUAUAUAUAUACAUAUAUUAAAUAAUAUUGCACACGGGUUCAUUACUCAUGCAUUCUUUUGAACAGAUACUUACGAGAUGCCAAGGAACUUCCUUUUUUAAUGUCAUUAACGGUUUUACUGAUUUGCAAUGAUUGAGUAUAUGAUACUGAUAGAAGUGAGGUAGAAAGCAUGAGGGCAACCGAGAUGGAGGCUACCGCCAUUAUGUUUUACUAUUAAUCUCUUCCUCUAAUUUAGUUUUGAAACUUGAAAGCCGUUAUGACAGGAUGAGUUGGGUAUCAUUUAUAUCCAGUCUUGCCAAUGCCUAG